UUUUUUUUUUUUUUUUCGGACACAAGCUGAUGACAACCUGAACAGAGCAUUUGUGAAAUAAGUGUUUAUGAGGUAGACACGUCUCUUUCCAUCUCUCUCACAAACAUUCCAGGCAGCCUUUCAUUUUAUAACUUUUACAUAUUGCAAAUGCAUCAUCUGCCAAUAUAAGAAACCAUUCACAUCCUACCUAUCCUAGCUAUUAUAUUCCACGGUGACAAACAUGAACUUUAAAUCUUUAUGAGUGCUUGAAAAACAUUCAUCAAACAUUCAAUAUAUUUUCCAAAGACAUGCUCAAACAUCCAAAUAAGAGUCUAUAGUCUUGCAGCAGAUAGAGGGUUAGUAUAAUUAAACUCCUAUGAAUUGUUUUAUUUAUUUUUCCUAAGUAAGUAACUGCUGAAAUGAGGGAGUGGUGGCUAUAACCUGUCUUUAUUUGUAUGUGUGUGUGUGUGUGUGAAUGGACCGUAGGUGCCACCUGGGUACUAAUGAGUGAGUAAUUAGGCUUUGGCACAUGCACAGACAGCCACACCUCGCUCCUUAGGACCCCAGCCACCAUAUGCUGCACCAGUUGGGAGCUCAACUUGCCAAGAACUCUAGAAGAAAGAGAAAACAUAAUCUCGAAGGGAGCGUCCAUUCAUCUUCAGCCUGGUCCCUGUCCUCUGGCUAAAAGGGAUAGCAAUAUUUCUGCCAGCGUCCAGCAGGGUGAAACUGUGUCAAGUUUUUAUUCAGCUCUGUCUGAUAAGAGCUUUUCUGCCAGAGCUGUGCAGAGGUUGAAGUGGAUGAUGAAGAGGCUGAGCAGGGGGUCUGGCAGCGCUGCAUCCCACACAGACGCCUCUCUUGUGGGCAUGCCGAGAGAGACAUGGCCCCCCGGAUGGAAGGUUGCUGGCAGUCUGGAGCUGGAACUGCAGAGGGAAAAGGCUCAUUCAUUAAUCUAACCUGUAUAUUUUCCAUCCUUGUCUCUUCUCCCCCCCACCCUUUCCCUCUUCUAAAUGUGUUUUAAAGGGAUUUAUUUGUGUGUGUGUGUGUGUGUGUGUGUGUGUGUGUGUGUGUGUGUGCGUGUGUGUGCGUAAUUUUGCCAUAUAAGUACUAUUUUAGGUUCUCCAAAUAACCUUUCAGUGAACAGUUCUUAAAAAAAGAACCUUUUGUGCAUUGAGAAGUUUCCUUAGAUAUUAAAUGUUCUUCAUGGAACCAUAACUUCCUAUAAGAGCCUUUAUUUUUGUGUGUAUGACUUUCUUCCCCAAAAGAAGACAUUUUGAUGAAUGUACUAGUCGUUUUUAUUAAGCAGUUACAAUGAAAUGGGACUGGUUCUUUUAAGCCUCUGAAAGGAGUCCACAUGAAUCCGAAUGCUAUAUUAUUAGCCAUUAAAUAGCUUUG
Megalobrama amblycephala (Wuchang bream) is the source of this 1371-nucleotide long non-coding RNA. RefSeq lists it as uncharacterized. The transcript is spliced from 3 exons. Lineage: Eukaryota; Metazoa; Chordata; Actinopteri; Cypriniformes; Xenocyprididae. The record is from RefSeq and is a predicted model, not a curated record.